This 77-nucleotide transfer RNA is filed under the name Bacillota bacterium. RNAcentral describes it as "tRNA-His". It matches the Rfam family "tRNA". Rfam says of the family: Transfer RNA (tRNA) molecules are approximately 80 nucleotides in length. Lineage: Bacteria; Bacillati; Bacillota. The record is from RNAcentral.
GUGGAUGUAGCUCAACCGGUUAGAGCGCCAGACUGUGGAUCUGGAGGCUGUGGGUUCAAGUCCCAUCAUCCACCCCA